CAGCAGCCACGGGAAUACGUAGGGUGCGAGCGUUGUCCGGAAUUACUGGGCGUAAAGGGCUCGUAGGUGGUUUGUCGCGUCGUCUGUGAAAUUCUGGGGCUUAACUCCGGGCGUGCAGGCGAUACGGGCAUAACUUGAGUGCUGUAGGGGUAACUGGAAUUCCUGGUGUAGCGGUGAAAUGCGCAGAUAUCAGGAGGAACACCGAUGGCGAAGGCAGGUUACUGGGCAGUUACUGACGCUGAGGAGCGAAAGCAUGGGUAGCGAACAGGAUUAGAUACCCCUGUAGUCCCUGUCUCUUAUA
RNAcentral lists this ribosomal RNA (301 nucleotides) under uncultured bacterium. RNAcentral describes it as "partial 16S ribosomal RNA". It matches the Rfam family "Bacterial small subunit ribosomal RNA", at positions 509 to 808 of the family's 1533-position model. The record is from RNAcentral.